Molecule: long non-coding RNA, 1217 nt
Filed under: Fragaria vesca (wild strawberry)
Lineage: Eukaryota; Viridiplantae; Streptophyta; Magnoliopsida; Rosales; Rosaceae
Description: long non-coding RNA (FVES_LNC004975)
Source: RNAcentral
CUCCUUUUAGGGAGCCACACGGCCUUGUGACACCAAUUUUGCCACUAUAUGGCGUCACCAUAUCACCAUCCAUGGUGAUGGCGUCAAGACCAACACUUUUUGGUCGCGCCAUGUCCUUUUGUAGGACAUCAAUCCUUGUAGACAUAUUUGCAGCAUGUGAUCUCGUCACUUUAACACUAUAAGCAUUUAGGAUCAAGAUGAGACUUAGUGGGGACAAACCACGACAAUUCACGUCGUUUCACUUGAACACUUGUGUUCUUAUCUCCCCCUAACGGCGGGAAUAUUGUCUCAUCAAAGUGACAAUCCGCAAUUUAGCGGUGAAUGAGAUCGCCUGACAAGGUUCCUACAUAUGCGGAUUAUAGGUGGAGGUUCAUAUCCAACCUAAACUUAUUCAUCUCAAAAUGACCCAUCAUUGUACGCAAUAGCAAUGCGAUUUGGCACCUAGAAAUAACAUCUAGCGGAGCUCAAGGAUUGGAGAUCCGUUUCAAUCCUGUCGAGCUCAAGGAUUGCAAUUUCGUGUCAAUCCUGGUACACAGUCACGAGCUGUAGUACAACAAAAUUCAAUGAUGGUGGGUCGUAAAUGAAUAGUAAAGCUGCAUGCAAAUAUUGCAUAGCCCCAAGACGCAAUAGAAAGAGUGGUGCGUAUCAAUAAUGUUCGAGCGACAAGCUAAAGUUGCUUGGUCGUAGCCUCGGUGAGACCGUAUUGCGUGUGAACAUGGGGUACAGGACACUUCAACUUACAUCCAGAUGAACUCCUUUAAAGAAUGGGUAGUGAGCCCGUAGAAGUAUAAGCAGCAUAAGCAGUAGAUAAUAGUGUAACACGUGAUCAGUGUGCUAACACUUCAACCAACACCAUAAAGCAUAAAAGGUGUCCGCAAGUUGGUUGUAUCUAUCUACAUAAUUUUAUGUAAGAAUAGAAUGUUCACUUUUGUGUUAUUUAGCAUAGGAGGGUCUCACUCCUAAUUUAGCUAAAGAAUAGGCUUUCAAAACGAGCAAUGAGCAUUGCAGGGGGCCAAUGCGACAUCGAGGAAAGGCCGGUGCACCUCAAUUGCUUGAGGAAUUGUCCGGACGACCUCCAGGAAGUUGGAGUCGUGUUCGGGUGACGUCAAUGUCCCCCGGGUCACCACCAUGCUUCAUGGUGAUGCUAGGUCUCGAAUGUCUUCGUUUUGAGCGGAAGAAUGGAUGUCCAUGAGAAUUUCUCAAAAUUUGGACCAUUA